Long non-coding RNA from Cyanistes caeruleus (blue tit), 2112 nucleotides. RefSeq lists it as uncharacterized. The record is from RefSeq and is a predicted model, not a curated record. Lineage: Eukaryota; Metazoa; Chordata; Aves; Passeriformes; Paridae.
CCUUUGCAGUCUCAAAGACCCAAAAGAGCAGGGCAGGGCUGCAGAACUCCGCUGUUCCCUGUUCGGGGGGUAGACAAAACUGAUGGGUACUGGGUGGAAAGGCCAAAAAAAACCCCAACUUUGGGACAAGUCGUGCGUGUGCACAGGAGAGUGUGGGUGUACGAGCACCCAAAAUGCUGUGGGUGCAUCUCUGUAUGCAGCACAGAGUGACUUUUUCUGCAUCUGAGGGAGGAUUUGCUUGCUGUCCUGUGGUGUGUGUUCACAUGUUGGAUGGGGAGGGAGUUGUGCCUUCACAUGGGUGUGCAAGGCUGCGUCUGACUGGUUUUUGCAUGCUGGCAUCUUGUACCCUGGCUCUCUGGGUUCAGGCAAGGCAGGGUGGGUGGUCACCUGUACACACCCUGAUCAUGAAAUGCCCUUUUCUCUGCCUUUCCCAAAUACCUGGCUGCUGCCUCCUUUCUUGGUGAGCUGGGCUUUACCCUCUUUUUCCCCUGAUCUGCUUCAGGUGGGUGUUGCAGCUGGCUUUCCUGAGUGGGUGCUGCAGAGACCCAGCCACAAGCAUCCCUUUCCACGGGCACUGGGGUCUGCUCUCAGCCUUGGGGGUGUCAGCAGGAGCCACAGAAACCAGACCAAGAGGUCUCUGUGCCACCUUCAGCAGUGGCAUCACUGACAUCCCUGAUGAGAUCUCCCCAUGUCUAAGUGCAUCCUUCAGACAAUGCUCCUGGCUUUGGGAAUACAGUCUGAAUUUCCCCUGGGAAGAGGAAGAGCCCAGCUCCAAGACUGAAGCUUAAUUCCAAUAUAAGGCCAUCAAGAAGUUGAUCAGACAUUUAUUUCCUGCCUCACCAUUGCUCUGCUGUCAAGCUGCACAGGGCAGGAGCUUCUGAGCUGCUUCUAACAAGGGUGAAGAAGAAAAAGCCCAAAAGUCCUGAAACAACCAGAAGUCUGCCAGGUCCGUGGCAGCUUUGGAGAGGGAUUGAUCCAACACAGCCCUUCACCCAAAACAGCCACAGCUCCUUAGGGGAGAGCUGAUGAGAGAUGUUGAUUCAGAACAUCUCUCUGCCUCUUCUCAGCCUGCAUCCUCAAUGUCCCAUGCCCAGCCCAGUGAUAUCCCCACUGCUGACUCCUUGAUGCUGCAGUGCUGUGGAGCCAAACCAGAAUUCUUCCACCCCAAAAAGUUUUCCUCCAGUCAUCCUAUCAUGCUGGUUUGCUUUUGUGCCUGGCCUCAAGCCCUUCUGCACUUGCUGCAGGCAGAGCUGGGUAAGAUCUGCGUGGAGCUGGAGACAGGGAGCACCUGCAGGAUCUCACAUCCCUGUACAGGUGUGGGGGAGAUUUUGGGGGUGUGUGCAGGUAUCGGGGUCUGGAGCCAGACCUGUCCCUCACGAACUCCUACACACUUGGACCAAAGCCCCCUUUUUUCUCUCCUCCCCACACAGAGGUGCAUUAUUACAUCUGUGGGGAUCAGGUAGUCUACAGUCCUUCCAAGCUGUAAACUCAGCAUCAGGGUUUCUUUUAAUCCCAAACAUCUUGAUGUCAUCUGGAAAUGCCACGAGCAGUUUAUAAUUAGGGUUUAGCAUGCAGAUUAAUACCAGCAGCUCCAGGGUGAACAGACCAUCAGAGUCUAAUCAAAGCUUAAAUGGGACAGCAAUUUAGUACUGAGAUUUAUUAUUCCUCUGCACAAUAUUUUGAACCAGAGGCUGAGUUCACGUCACACACAAUCAUUCCUGGAAGUGCUAGCACAUCUCCAGUCAGAGCAAGGUGCCUUGUUACUUGUUCAUGGGGGUGAUAAAUACUUGGCUCUGGGAACUUCUUCAGGAAUAUUGCAGCAUUGACACUGUACAAGAUUUAGAACCUGGGGCAGGAGAACACUUGCACACAUGCUCCAGCCUCAUGUGCAUGGUGGGGCAAGGCCAUGCACUUACAUUUUAUUUUUUUUUUGCUGUGCACCAGGUGUAAUAAGGGAGGUUUCCCAGGAUAGCAGCUGAGGGGUUUAUUUCUGCCACCUCCCCUGGCCACGUGUUGGGGAGGAAGGAUGGAAAGCUUUGUGUUACCCAAGGUGGGGAUGAAGCCACCUCGCAGCAGCAGAACUUUCAUGGGGAACUGGCACUGUGUGGAAGG